This is a long non-coding RNA of Alligator mississippiensis (American alligator), 1262 nucleotides long. RefSeq lists it as uncharacterized. The transcript is spliced from 2 exons. The record is from RefSeq and is a predicted model, not a curated record. Lineage: Eukaryota; Metazoa; Chordata; Crocodylia; Alligatoridae.
GUUGGCAGGAGCCGAUUCGCCACGAGGAGCCGGGGGAAGUUGUUUCAUUUGCUUUUUUUUUUUUCCAAGCCUAGAGUGAGCGGGCCAGCGGGGAGCCAGGGAAGGCUCAGCGCUCUUCACGACACCCCGCUGCCCUCCUGCUGGGGAAAUAUCGGUCUGAUGCUGACAAGCACCAUGCCGAAGCUUUUGGUGCUUGAUAUGCUGUCCUUCUAAAUCUGGGCAAAAGCAUCUAAAUAUUGCUUUCAGUUGCUGACUUGAAUCAGCAGGUGUUUCUUUUGACUUGUAUCUUGUCGUGUCUACGGAUUGCAGCUUAUACCGUGAAUAUCAUUAUAUGUUGUGCCUAAAUAUUUGCAGUGAGUAGGCACAGUGUGAGUUCAAUUUGAAGAUCAUCGCCAUGACAUGCGAAUGUCUAAUACCUCCAGGGUCACUGGCAGGAUAGAAACAUGAUGAGAAAAGAGACUUUUCCCUUUUCCUAGUACAUUUUAAAGAGCAGUGUUACUGUGUAGUCUCAUUUUAUUGCUCUAAAACUUAGCAGAUGACUAGUCCCGCUUAUAAAUUCCUUUCUUCGGUCACUUCGUAGCAAAGAUCCAAUAGCAAGUUUCAUGUUCAAGAUGUCUAGCAAAACUGGUAAUGCACAAUACAGCUUUCCACCUCUUAUAGUAGUCAUUCAUAGUUCUCACUGGAGGUCUGUAAGCGUGUCUCAGUCCAGUUUCCAAGAAAGAAACAGCUGUGGUAUAACUGUUGCCUUUACCUGCAAUCUCAGCUGAGAGGCUAAGUAAUAAAUGACCGUGGAAACUGAACUCUUCUGCCUAGACGUGUUGUCCUUCCACAUCAAGUUUCAGGGACAUUAGCAGCGUCACGUGGAAAAUUUACAUGCUGCAAUCUGUGCUAAAAUUGAGUAGAGGACUUUGGUCUCCAGGCCUGGCACUGGUUACUAUGCCACUUUGUUCACAUUAACAUGUUUAAAAAAGUAUCCUGGGGGUUCUGGGAACACUUCUCUUACUUCUCUUAGAUGUGUUGAGUAAUUGUGUGCGUGUAAUCUAAGUCCCCUUGUUAAGGUAAAAAAAAAAGUAAGCAUUACCAAGCUAUUGCUACGUAUAUACAGAUAUUUCUUAACACUGAAGUCACUUCCCAUUGUUUUGUUUUGGGUUUUUUUGUUCACCUCUCACUCUGUCUAAAAAUGCAGUUAUGAGGAAAAUGUAUUUUGUCAGGACUUCUGCAGACUCCUAAACCUGUCAAAUAAACUACUACUACUAGCAUCA